This is a long non-coding RNA of Oryzias melastigma (Indian medaka), 1321 nucleotides long. RefSeq lists it as uncharacterized. The record is from RefSeq and is a predicted model, not a curated record. Lineage: Eukaryota; Metazoa; Chordata; Actinopteri; Beloniformes; Adrianichthyidae. The transcript is spliced from 3 exons.
UGAGUUGUAUGAAACGCUGGGAUCUCUGAGAUCUUCAGAGUUGUCAGUGUCUGAACCUCUCCUCAUCCUGCAGGCAGCAUGUUUCACACAGGUGUGCAGUGGGGGCCUGAAGUGGCAGAGUUGGCUGUUUGUGCCGGGACGGCUCUCUGCGGCGGUCAGAACUGCUGAGUGGACCCUCUCUUUUUAAAAGGUCCGGCCCCGCCCUUCCUCUCCCCACCCGGCCGGUUCACGGCCUCCUAUUAUUUAGCAGAUUUGUUUUUGCAUCCUGGCUGAACUUUCUAGCGCGCGGGGAAAAAAUUGCAGCGGGGAUCAUAUAUGUGCCUCUGCAGGGACGACGGGGGCAUAACCUAACAAAUGUGUGGGGUCAAUUGGUUUCCCAAGGGGACGCUACUGAGAAGCUGGCUCACCAAGUCGCGGCCCAGGUUGCUGCUGCUGAUCGCAGGGUUGAAGAGGCCUCAGGUGACCCUCAUGAGGAGGAAAAGGAUGAAGCGCACAAAAGUAGCAAAGGCCACGUAAGCGAACCUGCAGCCGAAUGCCCCACUUCACUUGAGUCGAUUGCACAGAGGAGUCGCUUAUUAGGAAUGGAAGACGGGCCGAAAGAGGACAUGCGUGCAGCAUCUUUGCUCCAACUAAGAACUACACUCCAACAAAAGAGAACCAAGCUGGAAAAUGAAGCACAGAGAUUUAGACCUCCAGAUUAAUCCGGACCUGGACGACCAGAUCCAGCCCUUCCUUCACCUCCAUCUGUCAUGACUGUGGCUUGUACAUGAAUCCUAUCCAAAGACAAAGUGUUGAAAACAGCUCCCACUGUCUCCUUGUUCUCAGUUUGAGAAUCUUUCAGGUUUGAGGCUCAGACGAGUUCAAACCAGCUGCUGAUUAAACUCUCUGCAUCUGCUGCUCCAUCUUCUGACACAUCCAGAGCAUUUCCACAAAAACCAAAGCUUUAUAUGACACACACAAGAUGUAAACAAAAGCACAUUAAAGACAACAAGAACUUGUAAUGUCAUAGUAUGCAUAUAAACAAAAAAUAAAGCUGCCAUUUAUGGCGAUGUGUGCAAUAAAAACGGAUUUAGCUUUUCUUUAUUUGUGAUGCUGCUCUGAAAAAAAUUGCAACCUAAACUUUUUAUGGUAAAUGGCGUGUACUUGGUGGCGUAAUAUAGUGCUUUACCUUUAUCAGGCCCAAAGCUCUUCACAGUCUCAGCCUUAUUCACACACUGAUGGUGGUACAAACCUAUAACCACCAGAAAAAAAGAAGAAAAUAUAUAAAUGUUUUAAAUAUAUGUACAUUUUUCCAUUUCACUAAAAAAGAAAAAAAAAAGAA